RNAcentral lists this small RNA (384 nucleotides) under Histoplasma ohiense. RNAcentral's name for it is "hypothetical lncRNA". Lineage: Eukaryota; Fungi; Ascomycota; Eurotiomycetes; Onygenales; Ajellomycetaceae. The record is from RNAcentral.
GGGACUAGAUUUAUAAUAUAAACAGUGUAAAGUGACUAAUUUAAUAAACACUAUAUGGGACCAGGACUAAGAAAUUUGAUAAUGGGACUGGCGAAAUAUUUAGUCCCAGUCCCAUGCAUGGUCACACGGCCAGUCUAGCAAUGACAGAAUCAAAUCUGUCAGAGAGAUGAAAAAAGCUUAAAGAGAAGUCAAAUUUCAAAAACCCCACUCAAAGCUUUAACAACAGAAAUAAUGCUGAUAAUAGAUCACAAAACAAACACAGAUGAAAUGACACUACAAAGUCUGAUGACUCCACCCAAUCAAAAUAUUGCUGUUAUUGCAAGCAACCAGGACAUAUCAUCAAUUCAUGUUUCAAACAACUCAAAGAUGAAUCCAAAAACACCA